Homarus americanus (American lobster) is the source of this 5691-nucleotide RNA transcript. It is a transcript of the gene named vesicle-associated membrane protein 2-like, with no coding region annotated. Lineage: Eukaryota; Metazoa; Arthropoda; Malacostraca; Decapoda; Nephropidae. The transcript has 7 exons. The record is from RefSeq and is a predicted model, not a curated record.
UAGUUGGAAGGGAGGUGACCAAUGAGAGGAGGUGAGGCCUGAGAGUGCGCACAACUCACCCCAGCUGCCAUUUUACUUUGGGUAUCAGUUAAUUUGGGGCUCACUUUCACAGGAAAUGUCAGCCGAGGGUGGUGCGGCAGCGGCAGGGGGUGCUGCCCCUGGAGGCGAUCCCCCCACAGGAGAGAAUGGCGAGAUUGUGGGGGGACCCCGCGGACCACAGCAGAUCGCAGCACAGAAACGAAUGCAACAGACACAAGCACAAGUUGAUGAGGUUGUUGGAAUAAUGAGAGUCAACGUGGAGAGAGUUUUGGAACGUGAUCAGAGAAUAUCAGAGCUAGAUGACCGAGCAGAUGCCCUCCAACAAGGAGCCUCACAAUUUGAACAACAGGCCGGCAAACUAAAGAGGAAAAUGUGGUGGAAGAACCUCAAGAUGAUGAUCAUUAUGGGCGUCAUCGGUAUUAUCGUCCUCAUCAUCAUUGUUGUUUACUUCAUGUAAAUCGCCGUGUAUCAAUGUCUUCUGUAUGUGCGCUCUUGAAACAAAAACAAGCCUGGGCAGCGAGCUAAAUUGCUUUUCAGGACAGGUGUGGUGAAUCUGUGGGUGAGAGCUUCAUUACAAGAAAAAAAGCUUUUUUGAACAUAAGGUCUUGCUAAGAUACCACUAGUUAGGAUCAUAGCCAGGAGGAGCAGUAGACUUUUGAAGAUUUUCUCACUUGCAUAUUGUUGUUAAUGCAUUUGUUCUGUACAGUUUUACUUAGUUCAGUACUUGUGCAGACUGAGUGCAGGUCUCACAGGUGAGAUUCAAUGAGAAUAUGAAAGCAUGAAGUGACAACGUUCUUAUUUUAUGUAGUAUAAGGCACACUAAUGGUCUGUUUUAAUUCUCAUUAAGUGCUUGAGUGUGGUAGUUGACCCCCAAGCCCGGGGAAUUCAGGGGUGGGUACGGUCCAGACCCUCCCGUGGUGAACUGGGCUUGAAAACUAUGUUGUGUGAAUGUACAGGUUGAAUGUGUGGGUGGUGUGUUUCCUUUAAGGUUCUUGUUUAGGGUGUGUCCAGUGCCCUCAAACAACUGACCUUGGGAAAAUAAUUAUAUACCCUGUGUGUGUGUGUGUGUGUGUGUGUAUAUAUAUAUAUAUAUAUAUAUAUAUAUAUAUAUAUAUAUAUAUAUAUAUAUAUAUAUAUAUAUAUAUAUAUAUAUAUAUAUAUAUAUAUAUAUAUAUAUAUAUAUAUAUAUAUAUAAUGUGCUGAAGGUUGUCAGUAAUAGAAAUCUGCUCUCUUUCUGCAAUGAACGUUUUUUUUAUUAUGUAAUUCUUUUUCAGUUAUCAUUUGUAUGUUCCUGAACAAGGGUUGUUCCAGAUUUAUUGUUUGCAUGUGCCUUAUGUUUUUCCUCAUCGAACACAAGCUGUUGGUGAUUUAGAUAAGGCCAUGUCGUUUCCAGGUUAAGUCAAGUCGCUGUCUCUGGCUGUCAGCUUGUCCUGUACAGUCUUGUAGUCUAAGUCUGACGCUCUGUACAGUUUUAACUCUAGAUGUUCUUCAUGCAAGGUGUUUGACUAGUAACUUUGACUAGAAACUUCCUCCUUUUAGAGUAUAUAGAGUACAGUACCUUCUCAAUUUAAUUGCAAGAGUUCCUUAAUGUAUCUGUUGUUGAUGAUCUUGACCCUGUUUAUCCACUCACUAGAGUAAGAUAUAUCUGGUAAGAGCAGAUCUGCUUUAGAUACCUAGGUAUUAAGAUGUGAAACUACUCGUAAUAGUCAGCUUUCACCCGUUGAUCUCAUAAUGCGUAGAUGAGAAAUCCUGCAGCUUGUGUUGGAUGCUCUUUUAAUGCUUUAGUUUACCCACUGUUUGUUUUGCCUGACGGCUGUUAUUUUGUUUUGUUCUUGUUUUUAAACUAGUUUGGGCCGUAAACGACUCGGAGUGAAGACGUGCAGCUGGGCUAAGACGAGAAGAACGGUGAAGCAAUACAAUGACUGGUGGAUGUAAAUUGUUAGGUUUCGAUUGAUUGCCCGUGUACAUAUAAUCUAUGAAUCAUCUAUGUCAACACCCAUGGUAUCAGUGUAGUGACAGAAGUACCACAUAAUGAUGUUCACUAAAUGGCUAGUAUGCUACCAGCAGAUUCAGCAUCUUAUGACUAGGGUCUCAUCAGAAUAUUUUACUUCAUCAUCAACUUAGACUUUCAGUAAGAAUUUUGCCUAUUAAGAUACUAUCAUACAUAUUUACCUUUUUGUAAUUAUUAAUAUCUUGCUAGUCAUUCGAUUUGGCACUGAUUAUAUAUAUAUAUAAUAUAUAUAUAUAUAUAUAUAUAUAUAUAUAUAUAUAUAUAUAUAUAUAUAUAUAUAUAUAUAUAUAUAUAUAUAUAUAUAUAUAUAUAUAUAUAUAUAUAUAUAUAUUAUAUUUAUAUAUAUAUAUUGAUACUUGUUUCUUGUCCAUUAUCCUAUUUGUCAUUAAUAUUUUUCUUGUAAAGGGCCUUUCCUGAGUCUGCCAUGAUGGUCAUAAAUCCUGUGUUUAAGAGAUCCUUAUUUUUCUUAGUCUUGGUUAUGUAAGGCCCUCUCCUGGAACAGCCCUAUUUCAUCAUUCCACACCAUUAGUGUGUAACAAGUUUUAAUGUUUUCUGCUCAUUUUGCAAAGGGAAGUUUCCACAGCUUCUAUCAUUACAGUCCCAGAGAGGAAGGACCUGUGUCAAGCGUUACCAGACUUAUGAUGCCCGAUUGGCAAGAACUCACCAGUGGUUAGAGUACUGUAUGUGCCUUCUGCAGUUGCUUGUAAAUUCUCCUCCAGUCCACAGGUUCCUCCUGUCUGGUCAAGUUAUUUUUAAGUGCAUAGAAGGAAUGCAUUGGUGUCAUAGCAGGAGGCAAGCCAAGAACAAGUGAUACCCUCAGGGAGCUGUGUUGCCAGUUGGUACCUCUGGGUGUGUGUUUUGUUGCUCUCGUACUGGGUUGGUGCUAAUGUAUCAUAUAAUAAUUUAUAAUGUAUUGUAUAUUGUAAGUGUCAACAAAGUACGAGUGAGGUAAACAGUGCUAUGAGGGCUGUAGCUGGUAUCAUGGGUUGUUGCUUAAGUUUUGGGGGCCUCCUGAUUAUGACCCAAAAACUCGGAUUAAAGUGCCCAAGUUAUUGUAUCAUAAUAUCCCCAAAGACUUUAUGGCUUGUUAGAUGGUGUGUGAAUAGGCUUGGUAUAACCCCAUGUUUACAUCCAGAAGCCUAAUGGUUAAUUAUUAACAAUUAUUAUUCUUUAGGAGUCCAACAUAUCUACUGCUCUUUAGUGAUGUAUCAAAGUAGAAGUAAUAUUACUCUGUUAAACGUGAAAUAUAGUGUGUUUAUGUCUGUAAUCUUUUUAUUGUGCCCUUUACUGCUAUGCCGCUGUGAUGAUGGUCAGAAGGAUGGUUCAUUAAGCUGCUCUUACAGUUACAUAGGAGUUGCACAUUAUUAUUUUUGUUAUAUUGUUUCGAGUAUCAGAAAAGAUUGGAGGCCAAAUCAUUUAGUUGUUAAACAGUUGAACCAAGGAAGCUUCAUAUUAGAUGGAAAUGGUUGAUAUUAUCGGGGAAUGCAUACAUAUUAAUGGUUACCUUCAAGGUCAAAACUUUUUGUUUGUGAAACUUUUCUUUUAAAGAAAUUGAAAGGAAUAGCCAUUCUCCAUUGUUGUGGGUAACCUUUGAGUUGUGUGCUGUAUUUUGGUUCUACAUAAUUGAUUAAUUCGUGGAUAGAAAUUAUUUUGUUGUUCAUUAAGGAAAAUAUUAAAGGAUUGUGGUAUCCUUCAUUUCGAUGUAAGGUUUUUUUUAAUUAACAUGUUUUCAGUUAAUAAUGCCAUCCUGAUGCAAAGUACUUUCAAGGUCUAAAUUAUGUUCAAAGACAAAUGUAGAGGCAAGAUGAUGAUGAUUGUACCUGUGCAUUACUGCAGUACACCUUCAUAAUGUGAAUACUGGUAGUAUUCUCUUCAUAUACAUUCAGAUGAAUACAUAACACUGCAUUCAGUCUUGCAUACACAGGUGUUUUUGUAAUACGUAUAUCCAGAAUUUUUUUUACUGACUAGGUUACGUGUUGCAUAUUCUUGGUAGAUUAUGCCAACAAUGACUCCUUAAAUCUUCAUGUAGUAACAUUGAGUAUCAUUUGUUCCCCAUGAAGUAACACUGACUUAUUUGUUCCCCAUGAAGUAACACUGACUAUUAUUUGUUCCCCAUGAAGCAACACUGACUUAUUUGUUCCCCAUGAAGUAACACUGACUAUUAUUUGUUCCCCAUGAAGCAACACUGACUUAUUUGUUCCCCAUGAAGUAACACUGACUAUUAUUUGUUCCCCAUGAAGUAACACUGACUUAUUUGUUCCCCAUGAAGUAACACUGACUAUUAUUUGUUCUCCAUGAAGUAACACUGACUAUUAUUUGUUCCCCAUGAAGCAACACCGACUUAUUUGUUCCCCAUGAAGUAACACUGACUAUCAUUUGUUCUCCAUGAAGUAACACUGACUAUUAUUUGUUCCCCAUGAAGUAACACUGACUUAUUUGUUCCCCAUGAAGCAACACUGACUUAUUUGUUCCCCAUGAAGCAACACUGACUUAUUUGUUCCCCAUGAAGCAACACUGACUAUUAUUUGUUCUCCAUGAAGUAACACUGACUAUUAUUUGUUCCCCAUGAAGUAACACUGACUUAUUUGUUCCCCAUGAAGUAACACUGACUAUUAUUUGUUCCCCAUGAAGUAACACUGACUUAUUUGUUCCCCAUGAAGCAACACUGACUUAUUUGUUCCUCAUGAAGUAACACUGACUAUCAUUUGUUCACCAUGAAGUAACACUGACUAUUAUUUGUUCCCCAUGAAGCAACACUGACUUAUUUGUUCCCCAUGAAGUAACACUGACUAUUAUUUGUUCUACAUGAAGCAACACUGAUAGUGAUUAAUAAUGUAGCACUCUUCACCAUAGUACAUAGCAUUAAUAUCAUUAUUUCUCCAUCAACUUCUAGGAACCCCAAAAUAUUAACUAUAGUUCCUCAUUCUUCCACCCAUAUCCCAUUGAUUCCCAGAUUCCUUUUCUUCAGUAGUGCCUCCAUAUGUGUGUGUAUGUAUGUGAAAUUUACUGUACAUUUAUAUACAUCCAAGUGUUUGUGAACAAGAAAUAUAUUAAUUAUUCCUGGAUGAUAAGUUUUGUCGUUAAACAUUGAAGCUUUUAAAUGUCAUCUUGUUUGUUGUACUUUAGGUUAAACCACAGUUGUCCACAUGUUUACAUUUUCCAUUUUAGUGUAUCCAUCCAUAUUGAUGUAACCCACAUUAUGUUGGUCUCAUAUUGAUGUAACCAAUUUUAAAAGUUGUUCAUCCAUCUUGGUGUGUAGCCCACAAUUUUUCUGUGCUUGUUGACAGAACCCACUUAAAGCUGUCCUCCCAUGUUGACAACCCACUUUAAGCUGUCCACCUAUGUUGACAAAACCCACUUUAAGCUGUCCACCUAUGUUGACAUAACCCACUUUAAGCUGUCCACCUAUGUUGACAUAACCCACUUUAAGCUGUCCACCUAUGUUGACAUAACCCACUUUAAGCUGUCCUAUGUUGACAUAAUCCACUUUCAGCUGUCUACCCAUAUUCACAUAACCCACAUUAAUGUGUCCACCUACUGUAUACUGCCCAGACUCAUGUGUUGACUCUUAUUGAUGUAACUCAUGUUUAAUGUAUCUACCCAUUUUGACAUAACUUGUAUUAAAUUGUCCAUCAAUUUGA